Hyla sarda is the source of this 2099-nucleotide long non-coding RNA. RefSeq lists it as uncharacterized. Lineage: Eukaryota; Metazoa; Chordata; Amphibia; Anura; Hylidae. The record is from RefSeq and is a predicted model, not a curated record. The transcript has 3 exons.
CCCUCUCCUUAAGUUUAGCCCCUCCCCUGCAGUUCUGAAUACCGCGCACUCUCCCGCUCCUGCUCGGUUUUUUCCCGCCCAGCUCCUCCUUCAUGAUCCAGUCACUGACGGCAAGCAGAGCUCUUGGAUGUCGUGAGAUGGACCUAAGAAUGUCAUAUUUGGCCACCGGCGGAGCCACUGUAUCAAUAUGCACUAUGAUGGAGCUGGAUGGACUCAUGUCUCUAAUUCUACAUUUAAUCUUCUUAACACUUGGUGAUGUGUCCAAAUUGUUACUUGGGUGCAGUGUGCCUUGUAUAACCAAUGGGGGAGGUGAUAGGAAUAAGGUGCUGGAGUCUGUCUAUGACGGACUCCUUCGUGCCUGAUAUCCCACAGGAGGUUCUCUAUGUUGCGGCAUGGAGAUACCUGCUGUGUACACCUAUGACCCAUAUAUUAGUUAUUCUAUUUGGUGAGCCAUGUCAGCUCUCACUGCUUAAACCCUUGCCAUGUAACACGGGACAAUCGCCUGUUAUAUACUUUUUAUUGAGCACUUUCAUUACUAUGCAUAAUAAGGGCAUGUUUGCCCUUGUCCAAGAUGGCCCCCGUGCCCUCUAAAGUUACAUUACGCAUGCGCCGAGUACGCUCUGAGACUGGAGUUUCUUCACAGCUCCGUUAUUAGCUGACAGCGCCCAGGGAGAUGUGGUUCUCAUUGGACAACCCGGUACGCUUGCGCAGUCAGUUUAGACCCACGCUCUGUAUACUACCCGUACCCAUACAGUGAGCUCAGCCGGGUUGGCGAAGGUGUGCACGGUUGCACUUUAUAUUUCACCCACCUCAGUUAUCUUAUUGAUACACGUCCUUUCACUGGGGGAUAGAUGAUGAUCACCAAUCUUUAUUUAUUAUUUUUUCCAUAAUUAUGGGUACCCAGAUUAUGCCUGUUUUCUAUGAAUACAUUUGCUUUAUUUUAUCUUAUGUUUUUUUUUUUUUAUUCCCUUUUUUUAUUUUCUUUGUUUAAUCAUUUAUACAUUUAUGUAUCUUUUUGAUGCCCCUGGAUCAUUGCUUCCCCACAUGCAUGGUGAUGGAUAUCUGGUGAGCACCCCCGUAUGAAACAAAUGUGCCUACUGAGCCAUGGUUGUCCCCCAACCCGGUGGGGGAUAUUCAGAGAAAUCCUGUAUGUCCCCCCUAGGGAGUCUUCAGUAUGACAUGAAGCACAUGAUGCUGCGGGCUGAGGGACAACCAUGGUGAGGUAUCAAUAGGGUAGAUGUAUGUGCUCUAAGAUGAAUGCACAAAAUGGUGUGUGUGUGAAUGGGGAUAUAUACCAGGGCUUUAUUUAUUUAAUUGAAUCUUCCUCAUUUUUUAUUGCUCCAAUACAAGUUUUCUUGAUUUAUAUUUCUUUGCAUUGUUUUAUAAUUUUUUAUACUUUAUAGCACCUUUCUAUUUUGUUUAUUAGAAUCAGUUUUCCUUUUUUUUUUUUUUUUUACUAUUUUCCCUAAACAUGUGUUGGUUCUGACGAUCAGCGUCCGCUUAGCCUCGAUUCCAUGGCGUGUGGGGCGAGGAUGGUCUAUUAACUGACACACAUUCAGUCUGUGGGUAUCGCACUACAAAAAUGGAGAUCGAAGGAUCUGGCAACACAGGGCAAGUGGGCCAGUGAUGCGCCGGGACAUUUGCCCCUGACGCUCCCUGGUCUGAUUGGUGUAUGAUCUAUCCCCCCAGCAUGAAGCUAUUGACAUCUGCAUUACACACACACGCUGGGAUGGCCGGUUCACAGUAGAGCAAUGUUCUGUUUACAUCUAUGCAUUCUGGUAAGUGCAGCCGACACCGCCCCCGCCGCUGACGAUGUGAUUGCAAUAUGAUUAACAACUGCACUUUAUUUGUUUUCAAUAACAUUGAUACUGCUGUAUUUGAUUAUUAUAUCAGUAUCCUUACUUGUUGCACUUUGAAGUAUGCUCUCUUUGUAUUACGUAUGUACAUUUUAUCACUCUUUUGCAUAAUUGUAUUUUUAAUUGUGAUUAAUUGUUAUUUGGUUUGCACAUGUUAUAUACCCCUGAAUGGGUCACUUGGACUUAUGCUUGAAAAAGGCUGCAUGGGCAGCUAAAACAUUGCAUCUUUUACACAUGUUUGGU